Molecule: ribosomal RNA, 500 nt
Filed under: uncultured bacterium
Lineage: Bacteria
Description: partial 16S ribosomal RNA
Rfam family: Bacterial small subunit ribosomal RNA
Source: RNAcentral
GUUGAACGCUGGCGGAAUGCUUUACACAUGCAAGUCGAACGGCAGCACGGACUUCGGUCUGGUGGCGAGUGGCGAACGGGUGAGUAAUGUAUCGGAACGUGCCCAGUCGUGGGGGAUAACGUAGUGAAAAUUACGCUAAUACCGCAUACGAUCUAUGGAUGAAAGCGGGGGAUCGCAAGACCUCGCGCGAUUGGAGCGGCCGAUAUCAGAUUAGGUAGUUGGUGGGGUAAAGGCCCACCAAGCCAACGAUCUGUAGCUGGUCUGAGAGGACGACCUGCCACACUGGAACUGAGACACGGUCCAGACUCCUACGGGAGGCAGCAGUGGGGAAUUUUGGACAAUGGGCGAAAGCCUGAUCCAGCCAUUCCGCGUGCAGGAUGAAGGCCCUCGGGUUGUAAACUGCUUCUGUACAGAACGAAAAGGUUUCUACUAAUACUAGGAGCUCAUGACGGUACUGUAAGAAUAAGCACCGGCUAACUACGUGCCAGCCGCCGCGGUAA